UAAAAAGUUAUGACAGGAUUCAGUAGUGUCUUAUCUCCCUGUAAUAGAGAGCCGAUGGUUGGUGGAAAUCGGAACAAAGAUAAGGGCGAAUUACCUCCUCGAGCUUUCUUUGCGAAAAAUGAAGUAGCAAAGAACGGACGUACCGUUAUACGUUUGAGCGGAAGAGCAUAUUCUUCAAUGAGGGUGGUACCGCGUGUAAGACAGCCACGUCCCUUUU
Molecule: non-coding RNA, 217 nt
Filed under: Bacillus sp. (in: firmicutes)
Lineage: Bacteria; Bacillati; Bacillota; Bacilli; Caryophanales; Bacillaceae
Description: Bacillus sp. T-box sequence
Rfam family: T-box leader
About the family: Uncharged tRNA acts as the effector for transcription antitermination of genes in the T-box leader family.
Source: RNAcentral